UGAAGCGGUUUAUCGGCCCUCGUAACUAGGUAGAUGCCAGCGUUGUGCACGGUAAUUUAUGAGCUUUCCUCUAACCAAGGUAUGUGCUUGGUUUUAGGCACUUGCAACUGGUCUGUGCCGUCGUGGGUCCCUGCACGGUGGAAAGAAAACCCUGCUCUCAGUGAAGGAGACAGAGAAAGGAGAUGGUGCCCACAGGUGAUGGAGAAUUCCCCACAUCCUACUCUGGCUGAAGGCCCGUCAGGCUGGGCUGCAAACACUGAGUUCCCUUUCCUGCUCCUAUGCUCAUGCCAAAUACGGCUGGGCUGGAACAUAGGAUUUUGGAAGGGGUCAACAUACCUAGCCCUAGCUGUGAGAACGUCUCUUCUUUAGUGCAUGAAAGUGUUUAUACAAGGGCUUAAGCUUUGGUGAUGUUCUGUACCUCCUAGACUUUGCCUGAGGCAUCCCGUGAAUUAGGCUGGAGCUAAGACUUCGGGCUUGACGGAGCAUACAUAGCUGAUCUUCAGUUUGAUCUGCAAUAUGGGUAAAAAGGAAAGACGAUCGCUUUGUCUUUGCCUGCCUUAGUACCUACAUAUCUGUGAAGAUGGGAAAACACGAGAUGCAGCUAUAGUCAGCCUGAUUCCUGAACACUGAGGUGCAGAGAGAAGUGCAUCUUGGCAAGCUAAACAUGAAAGAAAGCAAUAUCAGUGGAGGACAACUGAGUCUGGAAAUUUUGCCUAAUCAGGAAGACCUCCCCAAUUCAUUCCAGGCCAGGUCCAGCUAAAUGUUCCACUUCAAGUACAGUUCCAACACAAAUACAUUUUUGACUAUUUCCAACAAAACAAAAGCAAGUUGUGAAAUGACAGAGUUUAAAACCAGAGAAGAAUACUUCUAAAUCUUUAAUUAGUCUCAGUAACUUUGCUGUUCUCUCCUACGCCACAGCACACGUGGUGGGCUUUUGCAAAAGUACGCAUGUCCUUAACUCUGCUUCCAGGGAAGUGCGUGUGAGUUUCAAUGGGCGUGUCAGUAGGCCUCAGAACACCUUAGAUUUCCCCUAUAUUGUGCACAAUGUAACAGUGCAACAGAGAGAUAUUUUUCACACCCUGUGCAACUGUAUUGUAACUGAAGUGUUGUUAUGGGCUCCUAUCCUCUUCUAUAGUGCAAGGCUGUGUAUUGCAGCUAGAGGGGGUAAGCAGGCAGAAGAUAGUCUCAGCUAAUAUUUUGCAUUUGAAAACUUUUGAUCUUGCCGCUCUUUUCUCCUUCCCCUGAUCUAGGUGACACCUACCUUAAUUGCAGACACAUCUCUAUCUUCAAUAAAAUUUUACCUGCAUGUGUAUUUAUAGUAUAC
Long non-coding RNA from Struthio camelus australis, 1324 nucleotides. Lineage: Eukaryota; Metazoa; Chordata; Aves; Struthioniformes; Struthionidae. The record is from Ensembl.